This 253-nucleotide ribosomal RNA is filed under the name uncultured bacterium. RNAcentral's name for it is "partial 16S ribosomal RNA". It matches the Rfam family "Bacterial small subunit ribosomal RNA", at positions 524 to 776 of the family's 1533-position model. The record is from RNAcentral.
UACGAAGGGUGCAAGCGUUAAUCGGAAUUACUGGGCGUAAAGCGUGCGUAGGCGGUUUCUUAAGUCUGCUGUGAAAGCCCCGGGCUCAACCUGGGAAUGGCGGUGGAUACUGAGAAGCUGGAGUACGGUAGAGGAAGGUGGAAUUCCCGGUGUAGCGGUGAAAUGCGUAGAGAUCGGGAGGAACAUCAGUGGCGAAGGCGACACGCUGGGCCAUACCUGACGCUAAAGCGCGACAGCAUGGGGAGCAAACGGG